This 6307-nucleotide small RNA is filed under the name Pongo abelii (Sumatran orangutan). RNAcentral's name for it is "retained intron". The record is from RNAcentral. Lineage: Eukaryota; Metazoa; Chordata; Mammalia; Primates; Hominidae.
GGAAAGGGUUUCAUCUUUCUGAACAUUCACCACACUGGUGUUUAGCUCUUACUCUACACAAAUCCUUUUUGUGUGAGGAAGAUAAGGCUGUUGGGAGAGUCAAGUAAUUGAAUGAUGUGAAUUUCCUGGAGUUUCCAUAAGUUCCUGUAAAUUUAGCCUCCAACUGAAAUAAACCAAUUGGUACUCUUGUGAAAUUCAAAAUUAUGCUAUCAUCAGCUAAGCUGAAUGAAAAGAAAUUAGACAUGAAAGUCAUAGGCAGCCCUUUUUAAAAUUGUAUCUUUUAUAGAAACAUCAUUAUAUGGAACAAUUGGAAGAAGCAAAUUUAUUUGAGUGUGCAUUUUUAAGACAGUUCAACAAAAGCGUAACUAGCAGUACAAAAAAUUCUGAAUCAAAGACUAUCCUCAGAAUAUGAGAUUAAAAUCCACAUACAAGCCAUGAAAUAAAAUUCAGAAGUAUGAAUUAUAGCAUAACAUACAAUUGAUAUUCAAACCCAUUAAAAUAAUAUCUAAGAUUAAUAAAAUACUACUUUAAACAACUUAUCAAAAUCAUCCAUUCUUUUGUAGCAUGUCUUUAUAGUUGCAUCAUAGUCAUCAAAUAUAAGUAACAUUAAACAUUUAAUUACAAGUAACUCGUAACUCUUUCAGCCCAGUGCAUAUGCCCAGCUUUUUACUUAAAUUUGUAUUUAGUUUCACUUAACCUUUUAACCUUUUGAAUUAAUAGCAAAUAUGUCAAGGCAUUAAUAACUUUUUUUUUUUUUGAGAUGGAGUCUUGCUCUGUCACCCAGGCUGCAGUGCAGUGGCACAAUCUUGGCUCACUGCAACCUCCACCUCCGGGUUCAAGUGAUUCUCUUGUCUCAGCCUCCCAAGUAGCUGGGACUACAGGCGUGUGUCACCAUGCCUGGCUAAUUUUUGUAUUUUUAGUAGAGAUGGGGUUUCGCCAUAUUGGCCAGACUGGUCUCCGCCUCCCAAAGUGCUGGGAUUACAGGCAUCAGCCACCACGCCCAGCCCUUAAUAACAUUUUAUGUAGAUUGUGUUUUAACAUUUACCAGGCCUAAAUAAAAUGUCCCUGCUUUGGAAGAUAUUUUGUUUUAAGCAUAAAAUGAUGAAUUAGCAAUUCCCUAUAAUAAAGUGAUUCAUAUUUAUUACUUAAAAUUUUUUCAUAGCAAUAGAAAUUCAAGCAAAACGAUCACAAUAAUCUAUUUUAAAAGUCACUUAACGACCAUAUAAGGAUCAGAAUUGACUUUUGAUGCCUAGCUCCUUGUAUUGAUUUCCUAAAUUAUUCUGAUCAAGAACAGCCAUUAAUCAGAAAAGUCUGAAGAACAUUAAGAUCUAGUUUUUCAGACUACUAUAAUAUUCUAAAAUUCCAAAAAAGAAAGAACAAAGAUUCUAAUUUCAGAGGCUUUUAAAAUGCCUAAUUUCGGUAGGUCUCAAUUGUAAAGAUUCCAUUUUAACAGCAUGGGUAAAAUAAAAUACGUUUUGCUAGCACCUACUGCUGCAGAUGUGCAACUGAAGUACAAGAAUAUACUUUGAAAAGUGUAAAAUGGCAUGUAAAUAAAAAGUAUUAUAAAUCACAUUUCAUAAACUCAGUUGAUCAAGAAAUGUAAUUAUAGUUUUCUAUAAAAUAAUUUUAUUUGGAGUCCAGAUUCCUCCCUGUGAUAGAACUUAAUCUAGGCAAUUCACCACCACUCUCCCCAUUCUCCUAUUUCCUACUUAUGGAUGUGUUCACAGAUCAAAACAAUGAGUGCACAGUGUAAAGGUGUACUUUGCCGGGAUCGUUAGGUAUGCCCUGAGCAUCUACUGAGGUGCCUCUGGUCACAUCGUGCCUUCAAUCUUAGUUCAUGCACAUUAUUCUAAAUCAUCUGUCUUUCCAAACCAUCAAGUCAAGCCCAGCUUUUCCUAAUACAUUAGUAUCCUUCUGUGGUCCACAGGACUAUUCUUUGACAAGCACCACUAAAGUCUGUGGAGUCAAGUUUCUGUCUAUUCCUCUGCCACUUGUGUGCAUCUUCCACCCCUCCCAGGCUAUCACAGGUGCCCAGAAACUCUGCCAAGUUUUCCUAAGACCUUCUCUACUUGGGGCUUGUUUCCUGAUGCCAUGUUGCUGCCUCCCUGAGCAUUACCCUGAAAUGAGGAAAAAAUAAAGUCCUGGGACCACUUGUACAUGCACCCUACUUAGAAUUUCUGUCUCCAUUCCUCCGGCUCAGGCUGGGAGAUGUAGUGUGAGGCCCUUCUUCUCAGAUACCCACCACUGUCUAAACUCUACUAUAUUUGUCUUGAUACCCUCUUACCAUGUUGUUACAGAAUCUCCUUUAGCCUCAGAGAAAGAACACCUUGUUCUUAUAAUAGGUAAGAACUUUAAUCUGCCAAAUCUAUAUUAUCAAAAAAUCCUCUACUUAUUAACCUCAUUCAACUCAGCAAUUCAGGCAUAAUUGCAAUCAUUUUAGGCUUCUUUACCCAGGAUUGCAUUAGAUUUCAAGAGGCUGUGCCAGGGUGGGGAGGACAACCAUCUCAACGGAGACUUCAGCUACAUUUAACUCCAGUAGGUCCACAAACAUCAGUCCAUGUAGGUACAAUUAAACCAGCCCUUUUCCAACUGCAGGGCUUCAUCAGAAACUCCUGUCCAUUCAUUUACUUAUAUGACUUGGUCAGAGACACAGGGGCUCAUUCUGUUAUUUGGGGCCCAUACUGAAGCAUGAAACUUCUGCACCCCAUCUGUUUAUCCCUGACCAAACAUGUCUUACAGCCUUCUUUGGGUCCUGACAUUAUCUGUGCUUUAUUCAGAAAGGGAAGGACGAGUCAUCUAUGUCCCCAAAUUGCCCCAAAACAUUAUUGCUUCACCCAGGCCCAUUCCUGGGAAGCAAUGGCUCCCAACACCUUUUCCUUAGGAAUCCAUCCUAUCUACAUAUUUAUUAUUUUGUGGCACAAUUAUUCUUCUUCUUAGAGUACAGGAGGUAAAAAGGAGCCAUAACCCUUGGCUAGCAAUUGGAAUUGGCUACUUGAAUGUGAAAAUUCAGAAUUAAUGUGCUUUGUUUUCUCUGCUUUCUGUGGUCUUAUCCCUUUUCUGAAACAACGAAGGUGAAUGCUGAGCUUCUGAAUGAAGAAAGUUUCCGUAGGAGAAGGAAACUGUUAAAAAUAAGUUAUAGAUAAAAAUUCAAAGUAUCAUGCUAUUGCAUCAUUAUUCUCCUCUUUAUGUGGGUUUUAGUUACUCCACUCAGAAACAUAAAAUUUAUUUUGUAUUCAAAUUGAUUAGUCCUUUUAUUUUCUUUAUGAUUUUUACCUUUGGAAUUUUUCAUGGGAUCGGUAACCUGGUUUACAGAAAACAGUAUUAAAUAGGUUGAGGAAAACUAGGCUACAUCAAGUAAACUGUCUUCCUUUUAGUUCUUUAAUAUUAAGGAAUAAAAAUGCAUGGCACACACAAUAAAGACCACACUAAGUAGAUGAUAAAUAUGAAGAUUUGUAUAAAUUGUAAGGUUUUAUAUAAAUAUUAUAUUAUUAUAAUCUGAGCGCCUAGGAAAUAUAUAUCCUCAGUGAUCUAAACAGUAUUAUCAUUGUCAGUAGAAAAGGGAGAGGAAGCAUUUACUAGUUUGGAUAAAAUGAAAAAAAAAAAAAUAUAUAUAUAUAUAUAUAAAACUGCAUCUUUUUGUUCCAAACACAAACCAUCCACAAACACAUCAAAAGUGUUUUGAUUCCUUACCUGUGCAAUAGAAUAUAUAAGAAAAUGUAAUGUUCCCAGUAAUUCGGCAUGUAACAAAAGCUAUAUGUUAUUUAUCUUUAGCUACCGUUGUUCUUUCAACUUGGUCAUAAAAUAUAUAGAUCUAGUCACUAGUAUAUUGUAAUUUCUCUGUAUUGACAUUGUUAUCUUGUAUGCAAAAUACUGUCAUAUUGAAUGUUAUUCCAAUGGUAUGUUUUUAACAUUUGAAAAAGUACAGGACAAUGACAGGAGAGCUGGAGUCAAAAAUCCCUGAGCAAACAAGGAUGUUCACCUCCAUCUCCAGCACUGAAUUGAAAUUGCAGGCUUGACUAAUCACUUGCUAUUUGAGUCUUGAGUCUUCCGAAUUAUAAUGAUAAAGAUAAAGUAAAAAGCACCUGAAGCAGACAUAGCAGGACUUUAAUUCCAAGACUGCCCUGUUUUUUUUUUUAAUAGCUUUAUAAGUUCAAUGUGCACUUAGCUUUCCUUAAGAAUCACUUAUCUACUAGUUAAUUUCCAAUCCUCAAGAAAUGCAGAGAAAUUGGGAUGGCCUUAGCAUAAAUUCUCCUCUUUCACAAGACGUAACUAGAAAAAACCCAUAGGACAAUUGUGGUUUUUGAAAUAAAAGUAAUCAAAUUACACUGAUAAAUAAAGAAAUGGCAAUUUAUGUUUGAUGAGGUAUACAUCUUUAUAGAAUGGAUUGAAAAAGAUCAAUAUUAACAUGAUCUAGACUACAUAAAACUCCAAAUUUAUUGUGUAAUUAUAUACUUAAAUAUCAUACCAACACUUUGUUUUGUUCAUUUUUAAGGUUACCAUAGUUUUAUAGAAAAAAAAAACCUUAUAUUUCCUCUUUCUUCCAGAAUGUAAGACAUCAGACCCUAAAGAACCAAAGUUGUUAUUUCUGUGGAAGACCAGCCAACCUAUUCUUACAGCUGAAACUAGGAAUCUGGCCUGCAAACAGUGUGUUAAGGCAUUCUCCAAGUUUCAAAACAAGAGUAUACCAUUUUGAAGGCCUAUAAAUAGAAAGAAUUUUUCAAAUGUUAAUUCAGUAAUGACCGCUGUCUUUGGAAAAGAUAAUUGCAAUGUGUUACUGCGAACCACUUUAAACCUGUAUUUCUCAUUGCAUUUAAUAUUUAAUUUUAUUUUUUAUCAUUAUAUAUCAACAGUUCUUUCUGGAGCAAAGCAAUCCUAUUUGACUUUUUUUUAAACCUUAUAGUGCACAUACACGUAUGUGUAGGGUUAUUUAAACAAGGAAACAUUUACAUCAAAAUGUGCAAAGAGUUAUCCUGGAAUAGAAAUGCUGAAAAUAUAUUUUCAAGAAGUUUUAAAAUUCUAGGCUGGCCUCAAUGUAUUCAGUAGCAUGUCAGAAACAGAAAAAAAUUUAAUCUCUCCAUUUGCUUAUUCCUAUUAACAUAUAUAGAAAAAAAAAGUUGCUCUAAACCUAAUGCCUGUGCAAUAUGUUUGUUUCCUGAUGCUGAUGGUAAAUCAUAACUGGGCACUUGGUUAUAUUUUUUUAAUAUUCUACAUUUCUAGCACUGCUACUGUGUUCGCAAUGAGCUUUAUAUCUGACAGUAAUUUUAUUUUCAGGUUCAGUCAUAUGAUGCCUUUCUAUACGAAUAGGUUCUAUCAGAGGAACAAAUUAUUCAAAUCUAGUUUAACUGACUCAGCAAUUCUCCUCAGUUUUAUCUUGGGCAUUUUGUGUUCCUUUGCCUAAACCUAGUGGCUAUGUAACAAUUCAAUUACCAAAGUCCUUCAUCCAGAAAGUGCCGUUGAUUUCCAGUAAUUCUUAUUCUGUUUGAUUUCUCUUUUUUUUCCUCCUAGUUUAACACACGCCAGUUGGUGUUGACUGCGUUUAAAAUCUUGAAAUAAGCCUGGCACUGUGUCAGUACAUAGGUUAAAAAAUGAAACAAAAAAUUUAAUAAAAUAUACACUAGAAAUGGAAAAUAAGAUUAGCAGUGGCAUUUCUUGUCAUAAGGGCAUUUUCUGUCUAUGCACACAAAAUAAAACGAGCUCAGUGCAGCUGAAGAAGAGAGGAAAGAGAGAGAUGGUAUAACUUGAAAGAUAAAAAGGCAGAGAGUGAGUGUACAGAAGCACGUUGAGAACAUGCAGUCAGCUGGCAAGAAGAGGCAACUCGAAGAGCCUCAGAAGGUAAAACCUCAGUUGGCAGAUAAAGUGGGUAAGAAGCAAGUUUUGAAAUAAAGUAGCAAUAGCAUAAGCAACUUGAAGGAAGAUGAAAAGAGCAAGGUGAUAAAAGUAUGCAAGAGUCUUUGGAGAUUAUUAGUAAUUUUAGGGAAUUACAAUGAUGAAAAGUUAUAAGGGAAAAAGACUUUACAUAUUCUUUAAUAAAAGAAAAUUACCUGUCAAAAUCUGUCUGCAUAGACACUAGUAUUAGAUUCUUGCUCUUCAAGAAAAAGGCAUGUCUGCUGGUCAAAUUGAGGUUCAUCUAUCCUUUAUUUCUCUAAAUAAUGUUUUUCUGAUAAAAUAUGCAAAUACACACAUACAUAUAUAUAUUUUGUGUGUAUAUUAUAUGUAUAUAUGUGUGUGUGUACGUACCUAUACAUAAAAUAAACACUCUGGAACUAAAAUUUCAAAGAAAGUCAAAGAAAAUAGACAAUAGUGGAAC